This 443-nucleotide ribosomal RNA is filed under the name uncultured Anaerolineaceae bacterium. RNAcentral describes it as "bacterial SSU rRNA". It matches the Rfam family "Bacterial small subunit ribosomal RNA", at positions 925 to 1382 of the family's 1533-position model. The record is from RNAcentral. Lineage: Bacteria; Bacillati; Chloroflexota; Anaerolineae; Anaerolineales; Anaerolineaceae.
ACAAGCAGCGGAGCGUGUGGUUUAAUUCGAUGUUACACGAAGAACCUUACCAGGGUUUGACAUGCAAGUGGUAGGAAGCCGAAAGGUGACCGACCCUUCGGGGAGCUUGCACAGGUGCUGCAUGGCUGUCGUCAGCUCGUGUCGUGAGAUGUUCGGUUAAGUCCGCUAACGAGCGCAACCCUCGCUGUGUGUUAUAUGUGUCACACGGGACUGCCGGUCUUAAGCCGGAGGAAGUGGGGAUGAUGUCAAGUCAGCAUGGCCUUUAUAUCCAGGGCUACACACACGCUACAAUGGUCUGUACAAUGGGUAGCCAAGCCGCGAGGCGGAGCCAAUCCUGAAAGCAGGCCUCAGUUCAGAUUGCAGUCUGCAACUCGACUGCAUGAAGCCGGAGUUGCUAGUAACCGCAGGUCAGCAAUACUGCGGUGAAUACGUUCCCGGGUCUU